Molecule: small RNA, 561 nt
Filed under: Malus domestica (apple)
Lineage: Eukaryota; Viridiplantae; Streptophyta; Magnoliopsida; Rosales; Rosaceae
Description: sRNA MD01G0006000
Source: RNAcentral
AUGAAUAAAGAUUCAUUAAAGCCCAAAAGCCCAAAAAUCCCUAAAUGGCCGGCCAUAUUAGAUGAAUUAGGGUUUUGGUUGUUUAGGUCACUUAAAGAAGUGACUAUAUAAAUGACUUUAUAGCCAAAUAUUCAUUAAGGAAAAAUUAAGGGUUUAUUUUGGGGGAAAAUUGGUGAGAAUUGUCUCUCCAUUUUCUCUCUAAAGAGGCCAACACCUUGGAGGGUACAUCUAGCAAUCCUACUACUCCAAGGUCACUCAUUUCUUCUACAAUCAAACCUUGGUGAAGAGACUUAGAGGUUCCCUAAUUUUGGGAACUUGGAGAAACCUAUUUUUCCAUCCAAAUCAUGGAUCUAAGAAGCAAGGAAUGAAGGCCCUAUCUCUUUGGGUGAUUAGCCUUUGCUUGUGCAAAGAGGAAUCUACAAAGAUCCUUUCCUCACAUCCUCAAGGAGCAAAGGAGCAUCAAAAGGAAGAAAAUCACAAGGAAGAUCCAAGGAGCUAGGAGGUGACUUGAAGGCCCUCCACUUGGGUGAAUCCCUUGUGUAAACAAGGAUGAGCUUCAAG